This 472-nucleotide ribosomal RNA is filed under the name uncultured Lachnospiraceae bacterium. Its description in RNAcentral is "bacterial SSU rRNA". It matches the Rfam family "Bacterial small subunit ribosomal RNA", at positions 910 to 1382 of the family's 1533-position model. Lineage: Bacteria; Bacillati; Bacillota; Clostridia; Lachnospirales; Lachnospiraceae. The record is from RNAcentral.
UUGACGGGGACCCGCACAAGCGGUGGAGCAUGUGGUUUAAUUCGAAGCAACGCGAAGAACCUUACCAAGUCUUGACAUCGGAAUGACCGGUCCGUAACGGGGCCUUCCCUACGGGGCAUUCCAGACAGGUGGUGCAUGGUUGUCGUCAGCUCGUGUCGUGAGAUGUUGGGUUAAGUCCCGCGACGAGCGCAACCCUUAUCCUUAGUAGCCAGCAGUUCGGCUGGGCACUCUGGGGAGACUGCCAGGGAUAACCUGGAGGAAGGUGGGGAUGACGUCAAAUCAUCAUGCCCCUUAUGAUUUGGGCUACACACGUGCUACAAUGGCGUAAACAAAGGGAAGCGAAGGAGUGAUCCGGAGCAAAUCUCAAAAAUAACGUCUCAGUUCGGAUUGUAGUCUGCAACUCGACUACAUGAAGCUGGGAUCGCUAGUAAUCGCGGAUCAGAAUGCCGCGGUGAAUACGUUCCCGGGUCUU